GCCAAAUUCUAUCACCUUUUUUCAUCCUUCCUUUCGCCUCGAUGUAACUCAUCUCAUACCAUAAUGAAGACGAUGAUGUGUUACCAAAUUUGUGCAGAGUCAUUCUUGAAGCCUCAACAUGUUCAGCAGAUAACUGAAGAUUCUUCUGAAGUUCAUCAAUAACAGCUCUUCCACCAGCAUGGAUGCAGAAAUGUUCGAAGGCUUGUUUGAAAUCAGGAAUAUAAGCUUUCCAUUUGGGAUUAAAAAUCUUCCUUCCAAUAAGAGUGAACAAGAAGAGAAGCUGCUCUGAAGCUGGAAGAACCAACGGACCGAUCGUAGUGAUGUUUGAUUUCAAAGCUUCCCCUGCUAUAACCAGAAGAUCCACAAGGGAAAGUUGGUAUUAAUCUAUCA
Molecule: unclassified non-coding RNA, 390 nt
Filed under: Hevea brasiliensis (rubber tree)
Lineage: Eukaryota; Viridiplantae; Streptophyta; Magnoliopsida; Malpighiales; Euphorbiaceae
Source: RNAcentral